UAAGUUCUCUCUGGGGAAGGGUUGGAAUUUCAAGCGUCCAGGUGUCCCUCACUCCCCUUCCCGGAAGGCACGAGGGCGGUCCCUCGUCAGAGUCAGACAAGAGCCAAACCCUGUUCUCCAAGCAUGGCAUGAUGGGAGGGGAGAAAACAGGUUCUCCCAGAUUUGGAUCUCCUGUUGAGGACCACAGAGGAUUUCAUGGUGGCCUCAUCACCCUGUUGCUGGUGUGAAGAGUUUGGGAAGGGCUGACCACCUUGUCCUCUACCUGGCUCACAAUCUGGUAUCCCAGUCCCCCCUGCUACUGUGAUUGGUUCCAGGAGGAGCACGUGACCUCAGUCAAUCCAAUGGGAGUCGGUUUUGGAACGUAAGCCAUAAAGACUGGGAAAGUGGCUCUCCCUUGGUUGCCAUCCUUGCUGCAGCAUGGACAUGGUCAUGGUCAGCUAAGAAGGAAGCCCACACAGAAGGAAACAGUCAAGGGAAGGAGAGAAAAUCCGAUGCCAUCAUCAAGUCCCUCAUCUGGCUAUACCAAAGCCAAAUAAACAUCCCAAACCUCCCAAUUAUGUAAGCAAAUAAAUGCUAUUUCAUGCUUAUGCCCA
Long non-coding RNA from Bos taurus (domestic cattle), 593 nucleotides. The record is from Ensembl. Lineage: Eukaryota; Metazoa; Chordata; Mammalia; Artiodactyla; Bovidae.